AUUGAACGCUGGCGGCAGGCCUAACACAUGCAAGUCGAGCGGAUGAAGGGAGCUUGCUCCUGGAUUCAGCGGCGGACGGGUGAGUAAUGCCUAGGAAUCUGCCUGGUAGUGGGGGAUAACGUCCGGAAACGGGCGCUAAUACCGCAUACGUCCUGAGGGUGAAAGAGGGGGAUCUUCGGACCUCACGCUAUUAGAUGAGCCUAGGUCGGAUUAGCUAGUUGGUGGGGUAAAGGCCUACCAAGGGGAGAACCCGUAACUGGUCUGAUAGGAUGAUCAGUCACACUGGACCUGGAACACGGUCCAGAUUCCUCCGGGAGGAGGCAGAGGGGAAUAUUGGCCAUUGGGCGAAAGCCUGAUCCAGCCAUGCCGCGUGUGUGAAGAAGGUCUUCGGAUUGUAAAGCACUUUAAGUUGGGAGGAAGGGCAGUAAGUUAAUACCUUGCUGUUUUGACGUUACCAACAGAAUAAGCACCGGCUAACUUCGUG
Molecule: ribosomal RNA, 484 nt
Filed under: uncultured bacterium
Lineage: Bacteria
Description: partial 16S ribosomal RNA
Rfam family: Bacterial small subunit ribosomal RNA
Source: RNAcentral